AACGCACAUUGCGCCCUUUGGUAUUCCGAAGGGCAUGCCUGUUCGAGCGUCAUUUAGAUCAUCAAGCAAAGCUUGGUAUUGGGUUUGGUUCGAAAGGACCAUCCCGAAACUCUCAGGCGAUGUUACCAAAGUCAUCGACGUAGCAAUGUCAUCGUCAGAAGUCUUUGAUCAUAUCAGCCAAAACUUAACCCUAAAUUUUGACCUCGGAUCAGGUAGGAAUACCCGCUGAACUUAA
RNAcentral lists this unclassified non-coding RNA (235 nucleotides) under uncultured fungus. RNAcentral describes it as "sequence contains ITS2". The stretch from base 1 to 52 matches the Rfam family "5.8S ribosomal RNA", at positions 103 to 154 of the family's 154-position model. The record is from RNAcentral. Lineage: Eukaryota; Fungi.